RNAcentral lists this transfer RNA (85 nucleotides) under Felis catus (domestic cat). It matches the Rfam family "tRNA". From Rfam's summary of the family: Transfer RNA (tRNA) molecules are approximately 80 nucleotides in length. Their secondary structure includes four short double-helical elements and three loops (D, anti-codon, and T loops). Lineage: Eukaryota; Metazoa; Chordata; Mammalia; Carnivora; Felidae. The record is from Rfam by way of RNAcentral. RNAcentral also lists the same sequence under 3 other names.
GCCUGAGUGGCUCAGUCGGUUAAGCAUCCAACUUCGGCUCAGGUCAUGAUCUUGUAAUCUGUGGGUUCAAGCCCCACAUCAGGCU